AGAGUUUGAUCMUGGCUCAGAUUGAACGCUGGCGGCAUGCCUUACACAUGCAAGUCGAACGGUAACAGCACUUCGGUGGCUGACGAGUGGCGAACGGGUGAGUAAUACAUCGGAACGUGCCCGAGAGUGGGGGAUAACGCAGCGAAAGCUGUGCUAAUACCGCAUACGAUCUACGGAUGAAAGCAGGGGACCGCAAGGCCUUGCGCUCAUGGAGCGGCCGAUGGCAGAUUAGGUAGUUGGUGGGAUAAAAGCUUACCAAGCCGACGAUCUGUAGCUGGUCUGAGAGGACGACCAGCCACACUGGGACUGAGACACGGCCCAGACUCCUACGGGAGGCAGCAGUGGGGAAUUUUGGACAAUGGGCGAAAGCCUGAUCCAGCCAUGCCGCGUGCAGGAUGAAGGCCUUCGGGUUGUAAACUGCUUUUGUACGGAACGAAAAGGUCUUUUCUAAUAAAGAAGGCUCAUGACGGUACCGUAAGAAUAAGCACCGGCUAACUACGUGCCAGCMGCCGCGGUAAUA
RNAcentral lists this ribosomal RNA (520 nucleotides) under uncultured bacterium. RNAcentral describes it as "SSU rRNA". It matches the Rfam family "Bacterial small subunit ribosomal RNA", at positions 8 to 525 of the family's 1533-position model. The record is from RNAcentral.